AGUAACAACCAGGCUUGUUGACUGGCGUCUAGCUUUCUACGGACGUCCGCCUCUCUAAACCUGGAAGAAUAAUGUAGCACGAUUUAAUUCUGCCCCUGUAACAUUUCGCUUCUUGGGCACUACGAGCGUGCUCACAUCUUCCUCACAAUGAUGUGACGACUGUGAUGGGAUGUGACGAACACACUACAGAAAUACUGUAAAUAUUUUGGGUGCCGUGAUUUAUUUGAGUUGGACAACUGUAUUCGCAUGGCGGCAAAAGUGGAAGAGUUUGAACUCACGCGACAAUGUUGACAUGGUGGUGUGAAUCAUUGAGUCAAAUCGUUACCAUGAUAAGACAUCAACACCAGUACGCGCGAGUAGCUUACAAGUAUCGUGUGCUUAUCUUAUGACUUUAUGAGUGACUCAUCUAGUUAGACCUUCGAUCCAAGUGACUUUUUCAUGACC
This 444-nucleotide unclassified non-coding RNA is filed under the name Yarrowia lipolytica. Lineage: Eukaryota; Fungi; Ascomycota; Dipodascomycetes; Dipodascales. The record is from RNAcentral.